CACUCCUGCGGGAGGCAGCAGUGGGGAAUAUUGCACAAUGGGCGCAAGCCUGAUGCAGCCAUGCCGCGUGUAUGAAGAAGGCCUUCGGGUUGUAAAGUACUUUCAGCGGGGAGGAAGGCGAUAAGGUUAAUAACCUUGUCGAUUGACGUUACCCGCAGAAGAAGCACCGGCUAACUCCGUGCCAGCAGCCGCGGUAAUACGGAGGGUGCAAGCGUUAAUCGGAAUUACUGGGCGUAAAGCGCACGCAGGCGGUCUGUCAAGUCGGAUGUGAAAUCCCCGGGCUCAACCUGGGAACUGCAUUCGAAACUGGCAGGCUAGAGUCUUGUAGAGGGGGGUAGAAUUCCAGGUGUAGUGGUGAAAUGCGUAGAGAUCUGGAGGAAUACCGGUGGCGAAGGCGGCCCCCUGGACAAAGACUGACGCUCAGGUGCGAAAGCGUGGGGAGCAAACAGGAUUAGAUACCCGAGUAGUCCCAUG
This 474-nucleotide ribosomal RNA is filed under the name uncultured organism. Its description in RNAcentral is "partial 16S ribosomal RNA". It matches the Rfam family "Bacterial small subunit ribosomal RNA", at positions 334 to 799 of the family's 1533-position model. The record is from RNAcentral.